This 69-nucleotide transfer RNA is filed under the name Tupaia nicobarica (Nicobar tree shrew). Its description in RNAcentral is "tRNA-His". It matches the Rfam family "tRNA". Rfam says of the family: Transfer RNA (tRNA) molecules are approximately 80 nucleotides in length. Their secondary structure includes four short double-helical elements and three loops (D, anti-codon, and T loops). Lineage: Eukaryota; Metazoa; Chordata; Mammalia; Scandentia; Tupaiidae. The record is from RNAcentral.
GUAAAUAUAGUUUAAGAAAAACACUAGAUUGUGAAUCUAGUGAUAGAAGCUUAACCCUUCUUAUUUACC